GGAUUAGAUACCCUGGUAGUCCACGCUGUAAACGAUGGAUACUAGAUGUCCGGAGAGUUCGACCUUUCUGGGUGUCGCAGCUAACGCAUUAAGUAUCCCGCCUGGGAAGUACGGUCGCAAGACUAAAACUCAAAGGAAUUGACGGGGGCCCGCACAAGCGGUGGAACAUGUGGUUUAAUUCGACGCAACGCGCAGAACCUUACCCGGGUUUGACAUCCUGUGCUCGCUCUAGAGAUAGAGUUUUCCCUUCGGGGACGCAGUGACAGGUGCUGCAUGGCUGUCGUCAGCUCGUGCCG
This 296-nucleotide ribosomal RNA is filed under the name uncultured bacterium. Its description in RNAcentral is "partial 16S ribosomal RNA". It matches the Rfam family "Bacterial small subunit ribosomal RNA", at positions 775 to 1067 of the family's 1533-position model. The record is from RNAcentral.